RNAcentral lists this ribosomal RNA (289 nucleotides) under Hirschmanniella sp. H-4_R4_NF1. RNAcentral's name for it is "partial small subunit ribosomal RNA". It matches the Rfam family "Eukaryotic small subunit ribosomal RNA", at positions 1344 to 1659 of the family's 1831-position model. The record is from RNAcentral. Lineage: Eukaryota; Metazoa; Nematoda; Chromadorea; Rhabditida; Pratylenchidae.
UGGCCUGCUAAAUAGCCUGGCCGUUGCUUCUGGGUGCACGCUUCUUAGAGGGAUUUUCGGUGUUCAGCCGCACGAAAUUGAGCAAUAACAGGUCUGUGAUGCCCUUAGAUGUCCGGGGCUGCACGCGCGCUACACUGGUAAAAUCAGCGUGCUUGUCCUUCCCCGAAAGGGGUUGGUAAACUCGUGAAAAUUUGCCGUGAUUGGGAUCGGAAAUUGCAAUUAUUUUCCGUGAACGAGGAAUUCCAAGUAAGUGCGAGUCAUCAACUCGCGUUGAUUACGUCCCUGCCCU